UUUUGAUUUUCAUUUUGCUUUCUUCGUAUCCUAUUGUUACACUCAUAGCUAUAUUAGCACUUCAAAAUCCAAAUUUUAUUAUGAGUAAAUUACUAUAACACCCCUCAUAUUUGAUAUGAUUCAUAUUUUAGUCCCUCUUGUUUGAAAAUUGAACUAUAUUGUCCCUCACUUUUGUUUUUGUCAACAAUUUAGUCCUUAUGUCCAUUUUGUAUGUUUAGUUAACAAAGUCAACGAAACUAUAUAGUUCCCCAGUUUUGUUUUUCUCAACGAUUUCACCCCUUAUUUUUGUUUUUAUCAACGAUUUCGCCCUCAAUUUUGAUAAUUAAUUUACCAAUAAAUCCUUUGACUUCGUUAACUAACACUAAAAAUAGAUGGAGUGACUAAAAUGUUGAGGGAAGCAAAAGUGAGAGGCCAUAUAGUUUAGUUUUCAAACAUAAGGAAAUAAAGUGUGAAUUAUAUCAAAUGUGAGGGACUUCAUAGUAAUUUUCUCUUUUAUUAUAUGCAUACUGUACCCCUACCCUUACCAUACAAUUAUAUAUAAAUACUCUUUAUGUAAAUAGGCAUUUAUUAUUUUUACAUAUUGGCAAAAUCCAGUGAACCAAGACUACAAAGUACAGAUUAUAUAAUCAACAUUUCCCAGUUUAUUUGCAAAUAUAAAUAUUUUACCAAUAUUUUCCUUAUUGGUAAAAUAUUUCUGUAGUUGUGCUAUAAAUACUAAAUAGGAUCUUACCUUAGUAUAAGCUUUGCAAAACAAAUCUUAAAAUCAUUGUCUAAGUAAAGUGAAAAUCAAACAAUCAUCAAUAUGGCAAAGACACCCUUCAAAUUGUUCUUUCUAGUUGCUCUUUUAGUUUUAUUUAUCUCUUUCGAAUCAACAAUUAUACAGGCAGACGCGAAAGAAUGCUCACGUGACAUUGACUGUGACCUCCGUUGUAAAAGAGGAGGGUUAUGUUCUAAAGAAGGAAAAUGUUUCUGUAUAUAUGCAGCCAACGGAGGAAAAUCUGCAGAUGCAUCGUGCGGCACCGGUGGCCGGAAAUGCAACUAGCUAGUCAUGCCUACCUACCUCUAUUAUUCUCCUCCCACAGACAAUAUAUAUUUGUAAUUGUCAAAUAUUGUUGUUCAACAUCAAAUAAAUCUUGUUUAAAUCAUAUUUAUCAAGUCGAGAUUCGAA
This is a long non-coding RNA of Mercurialis annua (annual mercury), 1168 nucleotides long. RefSeq lists it as uncharacterized. The record is from RefSeq and is a predicted model, not a curated record. Lineage: Eukaryota; Viridiplantae; Streptophyta; Magnoliopsida; Malpighiales; Euphorbiaceae. The transcript has 2 exons.